RNAcentral lists this ribosomal RNA (258 nucleotides) under uncultured bacterium. Its description in RNAcentral is "partial 16S ribosomal RNA". It matches the Rfam family "Bacterial small subunit ribosomal RNA", at positions 96 to 354 of the family's 1533-position model. The record is from RNAcentral.
CGGCGGACGGGUGAGUAACGCGUGGGCAACCUGCCUUACACAGGGGGAUAACAGUUAGAAAUGACUGCUAAUACCGCAUAAGACCACAAAACCGCAUGGUUUGGUGGUAAAAACUCCGGUGGUGUAAGAUGGGCCCGCGUCUGAUUAGGUAGUUGGUGGGGUAACGGCCUACCAAGCCGACGAUCAGUAGCCGACCUGAGAGGGUGACCGGCCACAUUGGGACUGAGACACGGCCCAGACUCCUACGGAAGGCAGCAG